CAUGGUUUUUUGAAAAUAAUUUAAAAUUUAAUCUGCUCAAUGAUAAUUUAAAUUGCCGCAGUAUAUUAACUGUGCAAAGGUAGCAUAAUAAUUAGUUUCUUAAUUAGAAGCUGGGAUGAAUGAUUGGACGAUAAAAUAUCUGUCUCUAAAUAAUUUAUUUAUUAAUUUUAUUUUUAAGUUAAAAGGCUUAAAUAAUUUAAAAAGACGAGAAGACCCUAUAGAGUUUUAUAAGAAUUAUAUAUUUUUAUUUUAGUAAUUUAUUUAAUUAAUUUUUAUUUAGUUGGGGUGAUUAAAAAAUUUAAUUAAUUUUUUUAAAUUUAAAUUUUUAAUAUAAAAAUUUUUAAUCUAUUUUUUUAAAUAUAAAAUAAAUUACCUUAGGGAUAACAGCGUAAUUUUUCUUUAAAGUUCUUAUUAAAAGAAAAGUUUGCGACCUCGAUGUUGGAUUAAAAUUAAUCUUAGGUGCAGUGGCUUAAGUAUUGAGUCUGUUCGACUUUUAAAAUU
RNAcentral lists this ribosomal RNA (501 nucleotides) under Benibotarus nigripennis. RNAcentral's name for it is "partial large subunit ribosomal RNA". Lineage: Eukaryota; Metazoa; Arthropoda; Insecta; Coleoptera; Lycidae. The record is from RNAcentral.